GACGAACGCUGGCGGCGUGCUUAACACAUGCAAGUCGAACGGAAAGGCCCUGCUUUUGUGGGGUGCUCGAUUGGCGAACGGGUGAGUAACACGUGAGUAACCUGCCCUUGACUUUGGGAUAACUUCAGGAAACUGGGGCUAAUACCGGAUAUGAUCUCCUGCUGCAUGGUGGGGGUUGGAAAGUUUCGGCGGUUGGGGAUGGUCUCGCGGCUUAUCAGCUUGUUUGUGGGGUAGUGGCAUACCAAGGCUUUGACGGGUAGCCGGCCUGAGAGGGUGACCGGCGACAUUGGGACUGAGAUACGGACCAGACUCCAACGGGAGGCAGCAGUGGGGAAUAUUGCAGAAUGGGCGGAAGCCUGAGGCAGCGACGCCGCGUGCGGGAUGACGGGCUUCGGGUUGUAAACCGCUUUCGCCUGUGACGAAGCGUGAGUGACGGUAAUGGGUAAAGAAGCACCGGCUAACUACGUG
Molecule: ribosomal RNA, 468 nt
Filed under: uncultured bacterium
Lineage: Bacteria
Description: partial 16S ribosomal RNA
Rfam family: Bacterial small subunit ribosomal RNA
Source: RNAcentral